RNAcentral lists this ribosomal RNA (970 nucleotides) under uncultured bacterium. RNAcentral's name for it is "bacterial SSU rRNA". It matches the Rfam family "Bacterial small subunit ribosomal RNA", at positions 64 to 1038 of the family's 1533-position model. The record is from RNAcentral.
GAACGGUAAGCAUCCUUCGGGGUGCCUAGAGUGGCGAACGGGUGAGUAACACGUAGGUGAUCUGCCCUUGAGUUGGGGAUAGCCCAUGGAAACAUGGGGUAAUACCGAAUACGUUCGGGAGUCUGUGGAUUCCUGAGGAAAAGCGCUUCGGCGCUGCUCGAGGAUGAGCCUGCGGCUGAUUAGCUAGUUGGUAGGGUAAGAGCCUACCAAGGCGACGAUCAGUAGCCGGCCUGAGAGGGUGAGCGGCCACACUGGGACUGAGAUACGGCCCAGACUCCUACGGGAGGCAGCAGCUAAGAAUCUUCUGCAAUGGACGAAAGUCUGACAGAGCGACGCCGCGUGGGUGAAGAAGGCCGGAAGGUUGUAAAGCCCUUUUCUACUCGAGGAAUAACCAUUGGAGGCAAUGCCAGUGGGAUGACGGUAGGGUAGGAAUAAGCCCCGGCCAAUUACGUGCCAGCAGCCGCGGUAACACGUAUGGGGCGAGCGUUGUUCGGAAUUAUUGGGCGUAAAGGGCGCGUAGGCGGAUAUGCAAGCUUGGUGUGAAAGACCGCAGCUCAACUGCGGGAGCGCGCUGAGAACUGUGUAUCUAGAGUUCAAGAGGGGAAGCUGGAAUUCCUGGUGUAGGGGUGAAAUCUGUAGAUAUCAGGAAGAACAUCAGUGGCGAAGGCGAGCUUCUGGCUAUGAACUGACGCUGAGGCGCGAAAGCGUGGGGAGCGAACAGGAUUAGAUACCCUGGUAGUCCACGCUGUAAACGAUGUGCACUAGGUGUCGGACCGUUGAAGGUUCGGUGCCGUAGCUAACGCGUUAAGUGCACCGCCUGGGGAGUAUGCUCGCAGGGUGAAACUCAAAGGAUUGACGGGGCCCGCACAGCGGUGGAGCAUGUGUUUAUUCGAUGAUACGCGAGAACCUUACAGGCUUGACAUAUAGCGGACGGUUGUAGCGAUACAGCUCCCUCGGGCUGCUAUACAGG